RNAcentral lists this ribosomal RNA (300 nucleotides) under Janthinobacterium sp. A6. RNAcentral describes it as "partial 16S ribosomal RNA". It matches the Rfam family "Bacterial small subunit ribosomal RNA", at positions 1170 to 1469 of the family's 1533-position model. Lineage: Bacteria; Pseudomonadati; Pseudomonadota; Betaproteobacteria; Burkholderiales; Oxalobacteraceae. The record is from RNAcentral.
AAGGUGGGGAUGACGUCAAGUCCUCAUGGCCCUUAUGGGUAGGGCUUCNCACGUCAUACAAUGGUNCAUACAGAGCGCCGCCANCCCGCGAGGGGGAGCUAAUCNCAGAAAGUGUAUCGUAGUCCGGAUUGUAGUCUGCAANUCGNCUGCAUGAAGUUGGAAUCGCUAGNAAUCGCGGAUCAGCAUGUCGCGGUGAAUACGUUCCCGGGUCUUGUNCGCNCCGCCCGUCNCACCAUGCCAGCGGGUUUUACCAGAAGUAGGUAGCNUAANCGNAAGGAGGGCNCUUCCCNCGGUAGGAUU